This 487-nucleotide ribosomal RNA is filed under the name uncultured bacterium. Its description in RNAcentral is "partial 16S ribosomal RNA". It matches the Rfam family "Bacterial small subunit ribosomal RNA", at positions 28 to 507 of the family's 1533-position model. The record is from RNAcentral.
GACGAACGCUGGCGGCGUGCUUAACACAUGCAAGUCGAACGGAAAGGCCCCCAUCUUGGUGGGGGUGCUCGAGGGGCGAACGGGUGAGUAACACGUGGGUGAUCUGCCCUGUACUGCGGGAUAAGCUUGGGAAACGGGGUCUAAUACCGGAGAGGACCAUGGUUUAGGGUCUCGUGGUGGAAAGUUCAUUGUUUUGGUGCAGGAUGAGCUCGCGGCCUAUCAGCUGGUGGGUGGGGUAAUGGCCUUCCAAUGCGGCGUCGGGUAGCCGGCCGGGGGGUGGGGGCGGCCGAGUUUGGACUGGGAUACGGCCCCGCCGCCUGCGGGCGGCAGCCGUGGGGAGUCAUGCACAAUGAGCGCACGCCUGUGGCAGCGACGCUGCGUGGGGGAUGCCGGGCUUCGGGUAGUGACCUCCUUUCGGUAGGGACGAAGCCACGGUUGUUGGGUGUGGUGCCGGUUCCUUUGUUAAGAAGCACCGGCUAACUACGUG